Molecule: ribosomal RNA, 474 nt
Filed under: Catonella sp. canine oral taxon 158
Lineage: Bacteria; Bacillati; Bacillota; Clostridia; Lachnospirales; Lachnospiraceae
Description: bacterial SSU rRNA
Rfam family: Bacterial small subunit ribosomal RNA
Source: RNAcentral
GAGUUUGAUCAUGGCUCAGGAUGAACGCUGGCGGCGUGCCUAACACAUGCAAGUCGAACGGGGAUUAUAAACGGAAGUUUUCGGAUGGAAGUUUAUAAUCUUAGUGGCGGACGGGUGAGUAACGCGUGGGCAACCUGCCUCAUACAGGGGGACAACAGACGGAAACGUCUGCUAAGACCGCAUACGUCUUUUUGGUCGCAUGACUGAGAAGGGAAAAGAGCAAUCUGGUAUGAGAUGGGCCCGCGUCUGAUUAGCUAGUUGGUAAGGUAACGGCUUACCAAGGCGACGAUCAGUAGCCGGACUGAGAGGUCGGACGGCCACAUUGGGACUGAGACACGGCCCAAACUCCUACGGGAGGCAGCAGUGGGGGAUAUUGCACAAUGGAGGAAACUCUGAUGCAGCGACGCCGCGUGAGUGAAGAAGUAUUUCGGUAUGUAAAGCUCUAUCAGCCAGGGAAGAUGAUGACGUACCUAC